This 842-nucleotide long non-coding RNA is filed under the name Marmota monax (woodchuck). Lineage: Eukaryota; Metazoa; Chordata; Mammalia; Rodentia; Sciuridae. The record is from RNAcentral.
GCAGGCUUCCCGUCUGCCCGUGGGCCCCCCCAGGAAGCCAGUGAGGACCCCGUGGGGAUCAGCUUUCACCCCGGGGAAGGCAGCCUCCGGCUACUCGUCUGUAAUUUGGCAACACAACCCCAAAUAGAUAAGAUACGGCGCUGGCCGCGGACGCUUGCCCGAGACGCAGAACAGUAGCUGGCCUUCGGGACUUUUCCCUCCAAGGCCGAUCUUUUCAGAAGGAAAAACAUGACAAAGCUGUUACUGUCGCGCUCAGCUGGGCAGACCCAUUUAUUUCUAACCUGGUAGGAGGAGCCAAGUAGUGGACAUAGACCUUCACACACUCGCCCACGCCCACAGAGUGUGGGACACAGAAUGCACCCCAGCAAACCAGGGGUUCCAGGUAAUCAAAAUAAGUCUGUGCUGUCACAGCCAAGGCCCCAGGACAAGAGGUGCAGGGACAGCAGCAACAGAGCCACUGGGCAGCUACACAGCAGCACUGGCUGCACCCGUUGCUCUGCAAAUCUAAGACUGCUCCAAAGACAACGGCAAACCUCAGCCCCUUCUCUGCUGAGGUUGCUGUGUGUCCCAAGGGUACUGUCAAUCAUCUUAAAGGUCGAGUUUGGAGACUUCCAUGUGAUGUUUCUGGGGAGAGACUGGGCAUUGGGGUGAUUCUCCAUCUGAGUUACUGACUAAGCAUUUGUAAGUGCUUUUGUUGUUCCUAAGCAGGAGUUGUGCAGCUUGGCCUUGCCCCUGAGCCGAGCAGGGGGGAGUUCUCAGGUAAGCACCCCACACUGAUGCGAAGCUCAGCCUCACAUUUCCUGACCUCCUCAAGCAGCCUCCGCACUUGGCAAGAAUAAAAC